Molecule: long non-coding RNA, 1437 nt
Organism: Daucus carota subsp. sativus
Lineage: Eukaryota; Viridiplantae; Streptophyta; Magnoliopsida; Apiales; Apiaceae
Exons: 4
Source: RefSeq, a predicted model, not a curated record
AAACCAAAACAAUAGGCGGGCUUCUUUAUUUCUGUUGGCCGGACAAACCAAACCCCCCAAAAUUAACCCCCAAAACAAACCCCCCAAACAAAAUCCUCUCCAAUCUCACUCGAGUCUCCAGUACUCUCACGCUAUUGUUACUCUUCUCUCCUCUCCUCUCUCACGCUGCAAAUCCUUUCGUCUCUCACGCUGCGAAUCCUUAAUAUCAAUCAAGGAAAAAUUUGUAUCUUUAUCCUAAUUCAUGUCCGAAUAUUUCGAUUAGGGCUUUGUGUUCUUAUUUUGUGCUCUUUAGAGCUUAAAUUUUUUAGGGUUUUGUAUCUUUUUUUGUGUUUUUUUCUUUGUUCUUAUUUUGUGUCUUAAUUUGUUCGAUUAGGGUAAGAUUUUGAGAGUUAUUAAUGUUGCUCUGUAUCCACUAUGUUAGUUUGUUCAAUUUUCUGUCUUGUCUUUCUCUAUAUGUACCAUGUUAGAUUGUACGUUUUUAUUGAAUAAUUUGAUUAAAAUGUACUGUAAAUGUGGUGAUGAUAUAUGUUGUUGUCCGCCAACUGUUUGAUGAAAUAUGAGAGAUGUGAAAUAAUGUAGUUUCUGGGUAUGUUAAGUUGGGGAUGGUGGGUGCUGCUAGGAGGUUGUUUGAUAGAAUGCCGCUGAGGGAUGUUGUGUGGUGGAAUAGUAUGGUUGUUGGGUAUGUCAAGAGUUGGGAGUUUGGUGAGUAUGUGAGGAUUUUUAAGGAGUUGAGGAGGUCGUCGAUUGGGUUUAAUGAGUUAGUUUUUAUGGGGUUUUGACUAUUUGUGUCAGAAGUAAGGAUUUGGGUAAGCAGGUUCAUUGUGGGGUUUUGGUUUAUGGGUUUCUUUGUCGAAUUUGGUAAGGAUUUAUGGUAACAAUGUUACAAGCGCUAAUGUACAGGCUACUUUACCGGUCCAGACACCAGACUUCCGAAAGUAGUGUAGAGGCAUCUCCAGAUAUGAGUUUGAAGACAUUCUACUGGAUAUGAAUAUGCAGAUAUGCUCAGCCGUCCAGUAAGUCUCCAGGCACUUACUCACACCUAUAUAUAAUAAGUGGCAGAAGCCGUAACAAGGGAGCCAUGGGAUGGACAUUAUUGGACCUCUGCAGCAAGCUAACACUUCCUAUGGUGGCAAGUAUGAGACCAUUAACUUGGAUGAAAAUUUAAGAGUGCAAUUUUAUUAUAUCAGCUGGAAAUACUUUUAGUCAUUUUACAGCGAGGAGGAUGGGAAGGCAGCUGCUCAACAUAGUGAUGAAAAUGAAGAUUUUUAGUCACUUUUUAUUUUUAAAUCUUUAUCUAUGCUUGCUUUUGGAUUGACUUUUGUAUGGAUAGUUUAUAAGUUGGCACCUUAGUCUGGUUUCUAUUUAUCUUUCAAUUUGAUGACUCGGUUUGUACUUUGCAUUCUAUUUUUGUCAAUUUCAAGUUAAGAAAAUUUUCAA